This is a non-coding RNA of Macaca mulatta (Rhesus monkey), 484 nucleotides long. Lineage: Eukaryota; Metazoa; Chordata; Mammalia; Primates; Cercopithecidae. The record is from RefSeq and is a predicted model, not a curated record.
UGGCUUCAAGAAUAUUUGUACUACAUUAUUUGUUUCCUCUCAGAACCAAGAGUUUCUAUUUUUCUUUGGAAGAGGUAAAUCGCAUCUCUUUUCUACUUCCUGGAAGCUGGAACAAUGGAUGAACCAAAUCUGAACCCAGUGGAGAAGGCGGCAAUAUCCUGGAAUAUGGCAGAGGGACAAGACAGAUGAAACCUGGACCCUGAGUGAUGAUGUGCAACCGAGCCACCCCUACAUCUUGGAGUGCUCACUUUUAGGCUAUUUUAAGACAGACAUAGAAAUCCAAGGGCUUUAAAAUAGUAUAUUUUGAAAUGUCCUUGUUACGGCAGCUUUAGUUUGUUUCCUACGUGGUACAGGCAUCCAUAGAAUAUCACGGUGAGUGAAAAUACCAUGAGUAAAACGAUAAAUCUGCAGCAUACAGCUGUGGAAUUCUCCUGUGUUUUCAAGUUAUUUUAAAUAUAUCACAAAAUAAAAUAUAUUGUUUCCA